AGCUACAAGAUGGAAUGAGCCUGGGACCCUGAAUGGCCACGUGUAGCAGAGCCUCUCUGCUGACCUGGAACAUUAACCUCAGACUCUUUUGAGUUGUGCAACCAUCACCACAAUGAAUUGUAGAAUAUUUUCAUCACUCCAAACAGAAACCCUGCAUCUAUGAGUUGUCACUCUUCAACUUGCCUCUGCCACUCCUUUCAACUAUUACUUUACUUUCUGUCUCUAUAGAUUUGCCUGUUGUAAACAUUUCAUAUAACAUUAAAAACUUAAGACCAUAAA
This is a long non-coding RNA of Pan troglodytes (chimpanzee), 279 nucleotides long. RefSeq lists it as uncharacterized. The transcript is spliced from 2 exons. The record is from RefSeq and is a predicted model, not a curated record. NCBI's taxonomy places the organism in Eukaryota, Metazoa, Chordata, Mammalia, Primates, Hominidae.